CCUACGGGAGGCAGCAGUGGGGAAUAUUGCACAAUGGGGGAAACCCUGAUGCAGCGACGUCGCGUGAGUGAUGACUUAUCUCGGUAUGUUAAGCUUUAUCUGCAGGGAAGUAAAUGACGGUACCUGUCUAAGAAGCCAUGGCUAACUACGUGCCAGCAGCCGCGGUAAUAUGUCGGGGGCAAGCGUUAUCCGGAUUUACUGGGUGUAAAGGGAGCGCAGACGGCUUGGUAAGUCUGGAGUGAAAGGCGGGGGCCCAACCCCCAGAUUGCCCUUGAAACUGGAAAGUUGGAGUGCAGGAGAGGUAAGCGGAAUUCGUGGUGUAGCGGUGAAAUGCGUAGAUAUUAGGAAGAACACCGAUUGCGAAGGCAGCUUACUGGACUGCAACUGACGUUGAGGCUCGAAAGCGUGGGUAGCAAACAGGAUUAGAUACCCGGGUAGUC
RNAcentral lists this ribosomal RNA (440 nucleotides) under uncultured bacterium. Its description in RNAcentral is "partial 16S ribosomal RNA". It matches the Rfam family "Bacterial small subunit ribosomal RNA", at positions 338 to 795 of the family's 1533-position model. The record is from RNAcentral.